UACGGGGGGAGCAAGCGUUGUUCGGAUUUACUGGGCGUAAAGGGCGCGUAGGCGGCCAGCACAAGUCAGUUGUGAAAUCUCCGAGCUUAACUCGGAACGGUCAACUGAUACUGUGCGGCUAGAGUGCAGAAGGGGCAACUGGAAUUCUUGGUGUAGCGGUGAAAUGCGUAGAUAUCAAGAGGAACACCUGCGGCGAAGGCGGGUUGCUGGGCUGACACUGACGCUGAGGCGCGAAAGCGUGGGGAGCAAACAGG
This 254-nucleotide ribosomal RNA is filed under the name uncultured bacterium. RNAcentral's name for it is "partial 16S ribosomal RNA". It matches the Rfam family "Bacterial small subunit ribosomal RNA", at positions 524 to 776 of the family's 1533-position model. The record is from RNAcentral.